AGUGAACGCUGGCGGUAGGCCUAACACAUGCAAGUCGAACGGCAGCACAGUAAGAGCUUGCUCUUACGGGUGGCGAGUGGCGGACGGGUGAGGAAUACAUCGGAAUCUACUUUUUCGUGGGGGAUAACGUAGGGAAACUUACGCUAAUACCGCAUACGACCUACGGGUGAAAGCAGGGGAUCUUCGGACCUUGCGCGAUUGAAUGAGCCGAUGUCGGAUUAGCUAGUUGGCGGGGUAAAGGCCCACCAAGGCGACGAUCCGUAGCUGGUCUGAGAGGAUGAUCAGCCACACUGGAACUUAGACACGGUCCAGACUCCUACGGGAGGCAGCAGUGGGGAAUAUUGGACAAUGGGCGCAAGCCUGAUCCAGCCAUACCGCGUGGGUGAAGAAGGCCUUCGGUUUGUAAAGCCCUUUUGUUGGGAAAGAAAAGCAGCAGGUUAAUACCCCGCUGUUCUGACGGUACCCAAAGAAUAAGCACCGGCUAACUUCGUG
This 492-nucleotide ribosomal RNA is filed under the name uncultured bacterium. RNAcentral's name for it is "partial 16S ribosomal RNA". It matches the Rfam family "Bacterial small subunit ribosomal RNA", at positions 29 to 507 of the family's 1533-position model. The record is from RNAcentral.